AUCCAGCUGACGAGUCCCAAAUAGGACGUCCUGGAU
This is a non-coding RNA of Schistosoma rodhaini, 36 nucleotides long. Lineage: Eukaryota; Metazoa; Platyhelminthes; Trematoda; Strigeidida; Schistosomatidae. The record is from Rfam.